This 468-nucleotide ribosomal RNA is filed under the name uncultured bacterium. RNAcentral's name for it is "partial 16S ribosomal RNA". It matches the Rfam family "Bacterial small subunit ribosomal RNA", at positions 28 to 507 of the family's 1533-position model. The record is from RNAcentral.
GACGAACGCUGGCGGCGUGCUUAACACAUGCAAGUCGAACGGUGAGGCGCGGCGUUUGCUGUUUUCUCGUGUGGCGCUCGGGUGUGAAACACGCGUGUGACACGCGCUUUAUUGUGGGAGAUCACUAGUGGACUGGGUAGAUAAUAGCAUAUGAGCAUGGAUUGCAUAUGUCGUUUAUUUGAGUUGCGGCGGUUGGGGAUGGACGCGUGGCUUAUCAUUGUGUUGGUGGGGUAGUGGCUUACCAAGGCUUUGACGGGUAGCCGGCCUGAGAGGGUGACCGGCCACAUUGGGACUGAGAUACGGCCCAGACUGCUACGGGAGGCAGCAGUGGGGAAUAUUGCACAAUGGGCGGAAGCAUGAUGCAGCAACGCCGCGUGCGGGAUGACGGCUUUCGGGUUGUAAACCGCUUUCGCGUGUAAAGAAGAGUGUGUGACGGUAAUGGGUAAAGAAGCAACGGCUAACUACGUG